Molecule: transfer RNA, 91 nt
Filed under: Nitrospirae bacterium CG2_30_41_42
Lineage: Bacteria; Pseudomonadati; Nitrospirota
Also listed under: 5 other names
Description: tRNA-Ser
Rfam family: tRNA
About the family: Transfer RNA (tRNA) molecules are approximately 80 nucleotides in length. Their secondary structure includes four short double-helical elements and three loops (D, anti-codon, and T loops).
Source: RNAcentral
GGAGAGAUGUCCGAGAGGCCGAAGGAGCACGACUGGAAAUCGUGUGUACGCUAAACCCGUACCGUGGGUUCAAAUCCCACUCUCUCCGUCA